GCUUACGGCCAUAUCACUCUGAAAAGCCUGAUCUCAUCUGACCUUGGAAGCAAAGCAGAGUUGGGCCUGGUUAGUACUUGGUUGGGAGACUGAAUGGGAAUACUAGGUGCUGGUAAGCU
This is a ribosomal RNA of Ictalurus punctatus (channel catfish), 119 nucleotides long. NCBI's taxonomy places the organism in Eukaryota, Metazoa, Chordata, Actinopteri, Siluriformes, Ictaluridae. The record is from Ensembl.